RNAcentral lists this transfer RNA (66 nucleotides) under Euprymna berryi. RNAcentral's name for it is "tRNA-His". The record is from RNAcentral. Lineage: Eukaryota; Metazoa; Mollusca; Cephalopoda; Sepiida; Sepiolidae.
GUAAAAUUAGUUUAAGAAAAAUAGUAAAUUGUGGUUUUACAGAUAAUUUUAUUAGAUUAUUUUACU